AUUGAACGCUGGCGGCAUGCUUUACACAUGCAAGUCGAACGGUAACAGGCCUUCUGGUGCUGCCGCUUGGCUAACGGGUGAGUAAUGCAUCGGAACGUACCCAGCGCUGGGGUUUAACGCAGCUAAAGCUGUGCUAAUACCGCAUGUGAUCUGAGGUUCAACGCGGUGGACCGUGCUGCAAUGUUUGGCCUCGUGGCUUUGGAGCGGCCGAUGUCGGAUUAGUUAGUUGGGGGGGUAAAGGCCUACCAGGUCGACGAUCCGUAGCUGGUCUGAGAGGACGAACAGCCACACUGGGACUGAGACACGGCCCAGACGCCUACGGGAGGCAGCAGUGGGGAAUGUUGGACAAUGGGCGCAAGCCUGAUCCAGCAAUGCCGCGUGCGGGAAGAAGGCCUUCGGGUUGUAAACCGCUUUUGGCAGGAACGAAACGGUGUCCGCUAAUACCGGGCGCUAAUGACGGUACCUGCAGAAUAAGCACCGGCUAACUACGUG
RNAcentral lists this ribosomal RNA (492 nucleotides) under uncultured bacterium. RNAcentral's name for it is "partial 16S ribosomal RNA". It matches the Rfam family "Bacterial small subunit ribosomal RNA", at positions 30 to 507 of the family's 1533-position model. The record is from RNAcentral.